Molecule: ribosomal RNA, 238 nt
Filed under: uncultured bacterium
Lineage: Bacteria
Description: partial 16S ribosomal RNA
Rfam family: Bacterial small subunit ribosomal RNA
Source: RNAcentral
UGGCGGACGGGUGAGUAACGCGUGGGUAACCUGCCUUAUACAGGGGGAUAACAGUCAGAAAUGACUGCUAAUACCGCAUAAGCGCACAGGACCGCAUGGUCCGGUGUGAAAAACUCCGGUGGUAUAAGAUGGACCCGCGUUGGAUUAGCUUGUUGGUGGGGUAACGGCUCACCAAGGCGACGAUCCAUAGCCGGCCUGAGAGGGUGAACGGCCACAUUGGGACUGAGACACGGCCCAG